UAAUAGGUCCUCUUCAGGACCACAUUAGUGUAUUCUUCCGAUAAUG
Non-coding RNA from Stegodyphus mimosarum, 46 nucleotides. NCBI's taxonomy places the organism in Eukaryota, Metazoa, Arthropoda, Arachnida, Araneae, Eresidae. The record is from Rfam.